Molecule: ribosomal RNA, 711 nt
Filed under: uncultured Lachnospiraceae bacterium
Lineage: Bacteria; Bacillati; Bacillota; Clostridia; Lachnospirales; Lachnospiraceae
Description: bacterial SSU rRNA
Rfam family: Bacterial small subunit ribosomal RNA
Source: RNAcentral
GAACGGGAAACUUUUCAUUGAAGCUUCGGCAGAUUUGGUCUGUUUCUAGUGGCGGACGGGUGAGUAACGCGUGGGUAACCUGCCUUAUACAGGGGGAUAACAACCAGAAAUGGUUGCUAAUACCGCAUAAGCGCACAGGACCGCAUGGUCCGGUGUGAAAAACUCCGGUGGUAUAAGAUGGACCCGCGUUGGAUUAGCUAGUUGGCAGGGCAACGGCCUACCAAGGCGACGAUCCAUAGCCGGCCUGAGAGGGUGAACGGCCACAUUGGGACUGAGACACGGCCCAGACUCCUACGGGAGGCAGCAGUGGGGAAUAUUGCACAAUGGGGGAAACCCUGAUGCAGCGACGCCGCGUGAAGGAAGAAGUAUCUCGGUAUGUAAACUUCUAUCAGCAGGGAAGAUAGUGACGGUACCUGACUAAGAAGCCCCGGCUAACUACGUGCCAGCAGCCGCGGUAAUACGUAGGGGGCAAGCGUUAUCCGGAUUUACUGGGUGUAAAGGGAGCGUAGACGGACUGGCAAGUCUGAUGUGAAAGGCGGGGGCUCAACCCCUGGACUGCAUUGGAAACUGUUAGUCUUGAGUGCCGGAGAGGUAAGCGGAAUUCCUAGUGUAGCGGUGAAAUGCGUAGAUAUUAGGAGGAACACCAGUGGCGAAGGCGGCUUACUGGACGGUAACUGACGUUGAGGCUCGAAAGCGUGGGGAGCAAACAGG